UGUAAGACCCGUAAUUUCACAGUUUAUUUUGUGUAAGGAAAAUAAAUAUUGGAUAAAAGUUUUAGGGUUUUUGUUUAAGUCGUUUUGUAUGUAUCGUUGUAAUAACGACAUUUUUGCUGAGUUUAAGUCUGUUUUGUACUCGUGCGCUGAAAAGGCACAGACUUUUGGGCUGUAAUCCUCUUUUAUGUAUGAGAAGGUUUAUGCAAAUUCAGAAUGACGGGUUUUGGAUUAUUCUCGCUUUUGGAAAAACGAGCAGAAAUUUUACCCGC
This 269-nucleotide long non-coding RNA is filed under the name Trifolium pratense (red clover). Its description in RNAcentral is "long non-coding RNA (TPRA_LNC005765)". The record is from RNAcentral. Lineage: Eukaryota; Viridiplantae; Streptophyta; Magnoliopsida; Fabales; Fabaceae.